GGCAGAAAAACGAACGAAAUUACAAUUUGAGAUCAAGGGAGGUUUCGUACCAAGUGGGCCAAGAGGUGUUCCGGAGGAACUUUAAGCAGAGCAACUUCCAGGCUGGCUAUAGUGCCAAACUGGGCCCAGCCUAUGUGAAGGCCAGAAUCCGCAAGAAGAUAGGUAGUGCUUAUUAUGAGUUGGAGGAUCUACAAGGACGGUCUAUUGGGCGAUACCACGCGAAAGACUUAAAACAAUAGCUGAUCCGCGCAGUUUGGAUCCGACUUGUGUGAUACCACUAAGUCAGAUCUUCGGCGGGGGGUAUUUGUAACGCUUGGAUCAGCGAGAGAGCUAGUUCGCAGCGCCAUCUAGUGGUCGGCACCGUAAGGGCCGUGGUAGACCAAACACCCUCUAUGGGCUAGGUCGGGGAGAUCACGAAAAGUGGCAUAGGAAGAGUGAUAGAGUUAACAGCUUGGAUUGUCAACUUUCUCUGGCAUUUCACCCUGUCCUUUGAGAGGGCCCGAGGGCUGUAGCUUGUUGAGGGGCUUGGCUUCGGUCUCUUCCCGUUUUGGCGCUCGACCAGAGCGUUCGUUUUCUCUGUCAACAGCCAACAAGUAUUUUUUUAUAAGUGCUAAAAAGGGAAAAAACGUGUAAUCGCGGCGGGAGGAGAAGAGCUUCAGCAUUCCGGCAUUAGUUUUCCAGCCUAGGACCGGCCAUUGGCGCAGUGGAUACCGCAAAGGAGGAGCGCCGCAUCGCCGUAUUUUCUUUGCAAAGCGGCCCGGAUCAGCUUCGCGGAUCCAAAGACGCGAGGCGUCGAGGAGAUCGAGCGUCCAAGGGACGCCAGAAGGGGUCCAGAGGAGCAGCCAAAGCAGCGUUGGGAAAAAUUGCAGGCCCAAGUACACGGGCACCGACGCCACGCUAGCGGGAGUUGAGUGGUUUUUGGGGAAGAAGGAAAAAAAAAACUCAAUCGUCUUGUUGAAAAGCGAGCCAAGGCAGGGAUAUAUAGCGCAGCUAGAGCGAAAGCAAGAGCAGUCCGAGAUCUGGCGGGGUCUUUCGAGUGGUCUCGCGAGUGAUUUUUAUCGUCGGGAACCGUCCCAGGGAACGAUGGAGUGAUUUCGGAAGGGAGAAAAUCUAAAACUAAAAGAAACCGGGAAUGGCUGAGAUCUCUAGUAAUAAUAGGAUUCAGUGUUAAGUGAUUAGUGUUAAUAAUUUAAUGAGUUAAGUAAUAUUUCUUUGUUAGUUUUUUUGUGCGUUAAAGUCUGCGACAGUCGGCGAAGGGCAGGCGAAAGAAAA
Long non-coding RNA from Drosophila miranda, 1272 nucleotides. RefSeq lists it as uncharacterized. The transcript is spliced from 2 exons. Lineage: Eukaryota; Metazoa; Arthropoda; Insecta; Diptera; Drosophilidae. The record is from RefSeq and is a predicted model, not a curated record.